Molecule: ribosomal RNA, 222 nt
Filed under: Triticum aestivum (bread wheat)
Lineage: Eukaryota; Viridiplantae; Streptophyta; Magnoliopsida; Poales; Poaceae
Description: partial small subunit ribosomal RNA
Source: RNAcentral
AUGAAUCUACUAAGUUGGAACUGCCGGGGUGGGGGGAAUCCCCGGACAGUUCGUGAUGUUGCGACGUUGGUGCAGUCGCAUUCCCCCAUGUUUGUGUUUUUGUGAGAAACUCGACAAAAAGCUAGUAAGAUGAAAUAAUUAGGGCGUCUCGGCCUUCACGGUUUUGUGGGUGUGGACAGUAAUGGUUUAAGCGGUGGCCUAGCAUUGUUUUGGCACGAAUCU